GCUAGUGUAGCUUAAAAUAAAGCAUGGCACUGAAGCUGCCAAGAUGGACCCUAAUAAGUUCCACGCGCA
This 69-nucleotide transfer RNA is filed under the name Danio albolineatus (pearl danio). RNAcentral describes it as "tRNA-Phe". It matches the Rfam family "tRNA". Rfam says of the family: Transfer RNA (tRNA) molecules are approximately 80 nucleotides in length. Their secondary structure includes four short double-helical elements and three loops (D, anti-codon, and T loops). Further hydrogen bonds mediate the characteristic L-shaped molecular structure. tRNAs have two regions of fundamental functional importance: the anti-codon, which is responsible for specific mRNA codon recognition, and the 3' end, to which the tRNAs corresponding amino acid is attached (by aminoacyl-tRNA synthetases). tRNAs cope with the degeneracy of the genetic code in two manners: having more than one tRNA (with a specific anti-codon) for a particular amino acid; and 'wobble' base-pairing, i.e. permitting non-standard base-pairing at the 3rd anti-codon position. RNAcentral also lists the same sequence under 1 other name. Lineage: Eukaryota; Metazoa; Chordata; Actinopteri; Cypriniformes; Danionidae. The record is from RNAcentral.